CUCGUCAGUUACGAAGCUGGACUGAAACUGCACUGUCAUUCAAUGCUGGAAGCUUCUGCGCGCGCCCAGGUCUGCACGCCAUGCGCGGUGCGUCCUCUUGGCUCACUGCCAUGCGCGCAUGCGCCACGUCACCAUGCGCGGUGCGUCCUCUUGGCUCAAGUCCAUGCGCCCGUGCGCCACGUCACCUGCGAGCCUAUACGAGCGCGCCACACAAUCGCGCCACACAAUCGCGCCGUAUUGGCUCACUCUGGUGUGCCGCGCACGACACGGCAGGACCCAUGCACCAUGCGCGCAACCGCGCGCCUCCGAGCCAUGUGUACUCGUGCGCGCAUGCGCAAAGUGCGCCAUCAAAGCGCCACAUUGCGCCUCAUCGCCCACGCCACGCGCGCGAGCGUGUGCGAGUUAGGGUGCUGCGCACCCUUCGCGAGGACACUAG
RNAcentral lists this long non-coding RNA (436 nucleotides) under Helianthus annuus (common sunflower). Its description in RNAcentral is "hypothetical non coding rna". The record is from RNAcentral. Lineage: Eukaryota; Viridiplantae; Streptophyta; Magnoliopsida; Asterales; Asteraceae.